Molecule: ribosomal RNA, 253 nt
Filed under: uncultured bacterium
Lineage: Bacteria
Description: partial 16S ribosomal RNA
Rfam family: Bacterial small subunit ribosomal RNA
Source: RNAcentral
UACGUAGGGUGCGAGCGUUAAUCGGAAUUACUGGGCGUAAAGCGUGCGCAGGCGGUUCGUUGUGUCGGUGGUGAAAGCCCCGGGCUCAACCUGGGAAUGGCCAUGGAAACUGGCGAACUGGAGUGUGGCAGGGGGGGGUGGAAUUCCGCGUGUAGCAGUGAAAUGCGUAGAGAUGCGGAGGAACACCGAUGGCGAAGGCAGCCCCCUGGGCUAGCACUGACGCUCAGGCACGAAAGCGUGGGGAGCAAACAGG